Siniperca chuatsi (mandarin fish) is the source of this 345-nucleotide long non-coding RNA. RefSeq lists it as uncharacterized. The record is from RefSeq and is a predicted model, not a curated record. NCBI's taxonomy places the organism in Eukaryota, Metazoa, Chordata, Actinopteri, Centrarchiformes, Sinipercidae. The transcript has 3 exons.
CAAGUGUAGUCAUUCAAGUGAGGUGGCCUUCUUUAGUGACUGGCGUCUCUCUACUGCCGCUGACACCCUGAACCAGCGCGCCUUAAGUGUCUCCUCUCCAGCAGGCGAAGCGUCCUGACCUUUGUGUGUUUGCUUUCUCGUCACUUCACAACCUUGUCACUCAAGCGCCACACAGUAGCCUCCACUUCACUGCUGAGGGGGGAAAGGCCACCAAUGACGGCCACCAGGGGAUGUUGACUGUUGCUGUGCUGUUGGACUUGGUGUCUCUGUUUACAACGCCUGGAGCAUAAGUUACGCCUCUGCCAGCAUCCUACGGAAAUAUUCUCACACAUCUUUCUCUGGGGA